This 497-nucleotide ribosomal RNA is filed under the name uncultured bacterium. RNAcentral's name for it is "partial 16S ribosomal RNA". It matches the Rfam family "Bacterial small subunit ribosomal RNA", at positions 28 to 507 of the family's 1533-position model. The record is from RNAcentral.
GAUGAACGCUGGCGGCGUGCCUAAUACAUGCAAGUCGAGCGAACAGAUAAGGAGCUUGCUCCUUUGACGUUAGCGGCGGACGGGUGAGUUACACGUGGAUAACCUACCUAUAAGACUGGGAUAACUUCGGGAAACCGGAGCUAAUACCGGAUAACAUAUUGAACCGCAUGGUUCAAUAGUGAAAGGCGGCUUUGCUGUCACUUAUAGAUGGAUCCGCGCCGUAUUAGCUAGUUGGUAAGGUAACGGCUUACCAAGGCAACGAUACGUAGCCGACCUGAGAGGGUGAUCGGCCACACUGGAACUGAGACACGGUCCAGACUCCUACGGGAGGCAGCAGUAGGGAAUCUUCCGCAAUGGGCGAAAGCCUGACGGAGCAACGCCGCGUGAGUGAUGAAGGUCUGCGGAUCGUAAAACUCUGUUAUCAGGGAAGAACAAAUGUGUAAGUAACUGUGCACAUCUUGACGGUACCUGAUCAGAAAGCCACGGCUAACUACGUG